Molecule: ribosomal RNA, 475 nt
Filed under: uncultured bacterium
Lineage: Bacteria
Description: partial 16S ribosomal RNA
Rfam family: Bacterial small subunit ribosomal RNA
Source: RNAcentral
GGUGAACGCUGGCGGCGUGCUUAAGACAUGCAAGUCGAACGCAGUCUUCGGACUGAGUGGCGCACGGGUGUGUAACACGUAACUGACCUACCCCCAAGUCGCGGAUAACUGGCCGAAAGGUCAGCUAAUACGUGAUGUGAUGUCCCCUUUCUGGGGGGCCAUUAAAGGUUUACUGCUUGGGGAUGGGGUUGCGUUCCAUCAGCUAGUUGGCGGGGUAAAGGCCCGCCAAGGCAACGACGGAUAGCCGGCCUGAGAGGGUGGCCGGCCACAGGGGCACUGAGACACGGGUCCCACUCCUACGGGAGGCAGCAGUUAGGAAUCUUCCACAAUGGGCGAAAGCCUGAUGGAGCGACGCCGCGUGAGGGAUGAAGGUUCUCGGAUCGUAAACUUCUGAAUCAGGGACGAAAGACGCGUAAGCGGGAUGACGGUACCUGAGUAAUAGCACCGGCUAACUCCGUGCCAGCCGCCGCCGUAA